GGGGAAUUUUGCGCAAUGGACGAAAGUCUGACGCAGCAACGCCGCGUGGGUGAUGAAGGUCUUCGGAUUGUAAAACCCUGUCGUCAGGGACGAAGGUUGGGGCUUUAAUAGAGUUUCAACUUGACGGUACCUGGAGAGGAAGCCCCGGCUAACUCUGUGCCAGCAGCCGCGGUAAUACAGAGGGGGCAAGCGUUAUUCGGAAUUACUGGGCGUAAAGGGCGCGUAGGCGGUUCUUUAAGUCGGAUGUGCAAUCCCCGAGCUCAACUUGGGAACUGCAUCCGAAACUGGGGAGCUAGAGUGCUGGAGAGGGUGGUGGAAUUCCACGUGUAGCGGUGAAAUGCGUAGAGAUGUGGAGGAACACCAGUGGCGAAGGCGGCCACCUGGACAGUAACUGACGCUGAGGCGCGAAAGUGUGGGUAGCAAAC
RNAcentral lists this ribosomal RNA (425 nucleotides) under uncultured bacterium. Its description in RNAcentral is "bacterial SSU rRNA". It matches the Rfam family "Bacterial small subunit ribosomal RNA", at positions 356 to 773 of the family's 1533-position model. The record is from RNAcentral.